CCUACGGGAGGCAGCAGUGAGGAAUAUUGGUCAAUGGACGAGAGUCUGAACCAGCCAAGUAGCGUGAAGGAUGACUGCCCUAUGGGUUGUAAACUUCUUUUAUAAAGGAAUAAAACGAGGCACGUGUGCCUUUUUGCAUGUACUUUAUGAAUAAGGAUCGGCUAACUCCGUGCCAGCAGCCGCGGUAAUACGGAGGAUCCGAGCGUUAUCCGGAUUUAUUGGGUUUAAAGGGAGCGUAGAUGGGUUGUUAAGUCAGUUGUGAAAGUUUGCGGCUCAACCGUAAAAUUGCAAUUGAUACUGGCAGUCGUGAGUACAGUUGAGGUAGGAGGAAUUCGUGGUGUAGCGGUGAAAUGCUUAGAUAUCACGAAGAACCCCGAUUGCGAAGGCAGCUUACUAAACUGUGACUGACAUUGAUGCUCGAAAGUGUGGGUAUCAAACAGGAUUAGAUACCCUAGUAGUC
RNAcentral lists this ribosomal RNA (460 nucleotides) under uncultured bacterium. RNAcentral describes it as "partial 16S ribosomal RNA". It matches the Rfam family "Bacterial small subunit ribosomal RNA", at positions 338 to 795 of the family's 1533-position model. The record is from RNAcentral.